Galeopterus variegatus (Sunda flying lemur) is the source of this 1598-nucleotide long non-coding RNA. RefSeq lists it as uncharacterized. The record is from RefSeq and is a predicted model, not a curated record. The transcript is spliced from 2 exons. NCBI's taxonomy places the organism in Eukaryota, Metazoa, Chordata, Mammalia, Dermoptera, Cynocephalidae.
AUUCAACUGGUGACCAACUGCUCGUUCUCACCGAUCUCCUUGUGUCACCAUGCUAUUAUGCAUAGAAGGAUGACUAAUCUUCACUUCGGGCUCUUUUCAUCAAAAAUUCCAGAUCCUCAGGUACCAUCUGUGGUGGCUCUCUGCAGGUUUUAAAACUGCUUCUGUUGAGCUCUCAUCAUUUUGGUGGUUUCUGUGUUUGGUUUCAUUAGUCUGUGUUCCACAGGUUCUUAGCUGCCAUUUGAUUUCCUAACUUGUCCAGAAGUGUUUUCAGAAUAUUGAUCACUUUUUCUUUGAGGCAUCUGAAAAGUCAAAGUCUCAGACUAGAAAUAAGUACCCAGUAUGAUCAUGGCAUCCAAACAGAGUCUAAAGAACUCACUAAGAAACAGUUUACUUGGAAUGGAGAAUACCCAUCUGUAACACAGGUCCUGUCAUUUCAUGCAUCUCAAGUUAUUUUGAAUUUUUCCCAAAUGGCUGUUGGGUUUAGAUAGUAGUAGGACUGUGGGCCCUAAAUCUGAAGCCUUGAGAGCCUUGGGUCUGGAGAGCCAUGGAGAGGGAAGGAACAGAGGGCAAGUUGAACCUAACCAAUGACCCGAUGAAUUGCUUCACCAUGACACAGAAAUGAAGUCUGUGUCCACGUACUUCCCACGGACUGGAGUUUUUGGUGCUGAAUGGAGAGCCAGUUGCUGAAAAACUAGGGGUUCAGUGAAUAAAUUUUUGAUUGAUUGCUGUGUGUGUAUACAAUAUGUGAUUUUGAAAAUAAACAGGAACAAUGAAAACCUUGACUGGUUGGUUUUUACCUGUAUUCUUUACAAAUAUUGUUUUGAUCCUCUUUUAAAACUGUUACACUUCACCUAAAUGGAAGACUGCUGUGUUUGUGGAAAUUCUGUAAUUUUUUUGUCUUUCUUUUGUUCUCUAUUUUUUUUUUUUUAAUUUUUGCCGGCAGAAUUGUUGAGAGACUAAUGAGGAUUGAUAUUUAAUUGACCUGUUUGUUUAAUAUGUUACAUAGAUGUAAAAGAUUGUAUAAACUGUCAAGAUGGCAUUGGCAAGACUUUGUACAGAUGAAGCCUUUUACACAAUACCAUUGUGUAAUUAAUUUGUAAAGAUUCACAUGUAGCUCUUUAUUAUAGUGAUUUUGGGCUUUUGUACUCAUUGAAUGCCAUUUUUGUGUGUUUUUUAAGUUAUUUUCUUUAUCUUUUCAUGUUACAAAAGCUGAGGUGUGGGGUUUUUUUUAGUUCAUUUAUCAUUAGAAUGUCUGAAUUUUUAUGUAACUUUUUCAUGUGCAUCUCUAAAUGCUAACAACACUUGUUUGCCUAUGACAAGUUUAUAGAGUGCAAGGUAUCUUCUAGGUUGAAACAGUUCACGAGUUCGUGAAUGUCUUCUUGCAACACACCCUGUACAGUCUUCCUUAGAGGAACACUAUAGUAUAUUUUUUAGUAUCUACCUGCUGAAUGACUCGAUACAGACCUAAGCACAGUGGUGGUCCUGGUACAGUAUUUAAGGGUCAGCAUACACAGGCGUAAUCCCUGUAUAGAAUUGUGCCAAACUGAUUAUUUCAAUUGUGUAACUAGUUUAAAACCCAAUAAAUGGAUUGUUUUUAA